This 494-nucleotide ribosomal RNA is filed under the name uncultured bacterium. RNAcentral's name for it is "partial 16S ribosomal RNA". It matches the Rfam family "Bacterial small subunit ribosomal RNA", at positions 28 to 507 of the family's 1533-position model. The record is from RNAcentral.
GACGAACGCUGGCGGCGUGCUUAACACAUGCAAGUCGAACGGAAAGGCCUGCUUUCCCUUGUGGAUUGCGGGUGCUCGAUUGGCGAACGGGUGAGUAACACGUGAGUGAUCUGCCCCCAACUUGUGUAUAAGCCCGGGAAACUGGGUCUAAUUCCCGAUAGGACUGCAAGGUGGUGCCUGUUGUGGAAAACGAUUUUCUAGUGGUUGGGGAUGAGCUCGCGGCCUAUCAGCUUGUUGGUGGGGUAAUUGCCUACCAAGGCGGCGACGGGUAGCCGGCCUGAGAGGGUGGACGGCGACAUUGAGACUGAGAUACGGCCCAGAGUCCUACGGGAGGCAGCAGUGGGGAAUAUUGGACAAUGGGCGGAAGACUGAUGCAGCGACGCAGCGUGGGGGAUGACGGCCUUCGGGUUGUAAACUCCUUUCGACCGCGAGGAAGCCACCUGGUUGGAAGGGUGGUGACGGUAGUGGUAGAAGAAGCACCGGCUAACUACGUG